Molecule: ribosomal RNA, 301 nt
Filed under: Babesia caballi
Lineage: Eukaryota; Apicomplexa; Aconoidasida; Piroplasmida; Babesiidae
Description: large subunit ribosomal RNA LSU1
Rfam family: Bacterial large subunit ribosomal RNA
Source: RNAcentral
AGUCCACUUUAUUUAAAUAAACUGAGGAGCGUCUGUUGAACAACUACAUAAGAUAAUGCUAAGAUAUAUAUCGAAGUAUAUUCUCUGAUACCUGUUCAGUGGUAUUUUUUAAAUACCUAACAACGGGAAUUCCCUUAAAGUAGGAAUUAACUAUCUAAAUAAUGGUUAUGAGAAUGGUAUAACGACUUCUCUAUUGUCUCCACUAAAUCCUUUUUGAAAUAGUCGUAGAUUUGAAUAGAAAUCUUGAUAUACUGUGACGGAGAGACCCCGUGCACCUUUACUUCUCUUAAAUAAGUUUUGC